AGCCAAGAAGGGGAGCUCCUGCUGUUCCAGGGGUGAUAGUAGGAGUGCCUCAGAGUACCAAGACGUGAGAAUAAACUGCACGCACAAAUGCCUGGCAAUCUAAUGCAUCCUCAGGUUUGAAAGGUUGGUGAUCUAUGCACAAGGGAUGCAGCAUAUUCAUAGAAGAAGUUCUUUGCAAUGCUAUGGUUCCAUCUCCCUACUUAUGAAAGCAGACUAUCAGAAAAGAAUAAACUGAGGAAGACACAGGAAAUUGUGCAAGAUUGGGCAGAACAGCAGGUCAUUCCUAACCCCUUUAGGGCAACAGCAGCUGAUUGACCGACAACUUAUGCAUCAUCUACACACUUGGCUUUUUCAUGUCAUGGAGGGCUUCUAGGAUGCUGAUCGCAAGGGAAAAAGGGAAAAAGAAACACUUUCUCUUGAAGUUGGUGGCCUUCUCAUAGCAUCAUAUCAGGAGAGAGGAAACUGAGAACACCAC
Long non-coding RNA from Alligator sinensis (Chinese alligator), 475 nucleotides. RefSeq lists it as uncharacterized. The record is from RefSeq and is a predicted model, not a curated record. The transcript has 6 exons. Lineage: Eukaryota; Metazoa; Chordata; Crocodylia; Alligatoridae.